UGCAAGUCGGACGAGAAGCUUCCUUCGGGAAGUGGAAAGUGGCAAACGGGGUAGUAAGGCGUAGGUGACGUACCCUCAAGUCCGGGAUAGCCACGGGAAACCGUGAUUAAUACCGGAUAAUCUCUCAGAGUAUGGUGCUUUGAGAGCAAAGGUGUGAUUCCGCUGGAGGAGCGGCUUACGUGAUAUUAGGUAGUUGGUGAGGUAACGGCUCACCAAGCCUCAGAUGUCUAGGGGGUGUGAGAGCAUGGCCCCCACCACUGGGACUGAGACACUGCCCAGACACCUACGGGUGGCUGCAGUCGAGAAUCUUCGGCAAUGGACGCAAGUCUGACCGAGCGACGCCGCGUGCGGGAUGAAGGCCCUUGGGUUGUAAACCGCUGUCAGAGGGGAUGAAAUGCGAGAGGGCUAUCCCUCUCGUUUGACAGAGCCUCAGAGGAAGCACGGGCUAAGUACGUGCCAGCAGCCGCGGUAACACGUACUGUGCGAACGUUAUUCGGAAUCACUGGGCUUAAAGGGUGCGUAGGCGGUUUAGUAAGUAGGGUGUGAAAUGCCAG
RNAcentral lists this ribosomal RNA (554 nucleotides) under uncultured Planctomyces sp. RNAcentral's name for it is "bacterial SSU rRNA". It matches the Rfam family "Bacterial small subunit ribosomal RNA", at positions 56 to 605 of the family's 1533-position model. The record is from RNAcentral. Lineage: Bacteria; Pseudomonadati; Planctomycetota; Planctomycetia; Planctomycetales; Planctomycetaceae.